GGACGAACGCUGGCGGCGUGCCUAAUACAUGCAAGUCGAACGGUCUUUCUAUGGAAGCUUGCUUCCACUGAGAAGAUAGUGGCGAACGGGUGAGUAACACGUGGGUAACCUGCCCAUAAGAGGGGGGAUAACAUCCGGAAACGGGUGCUAAUACCGCAUAGUUUUCUUGAUCGCAUGAUCGGGAAAGGAAAGACGGCCUUUGUGCUGUCGCUUAUGGAUGGACCCGCGGCGUAUUAGUUAGUUGGUGAGGUAACGGCUCACCAAGACGAUGAUACGUAGCCGACCUGAGAGGGUGAUCGGCCACAUUGGGACUGAGACACGGCCCAAACUCCUACGGGAGGCAGCAGUAGGGAAUCUUCCGCAAUGGACGAAAGUCUGACGGAGCAACGCCGCGUGAGUGAAGAAAGGUUUUCGGAUCGUAAAACUCUGUUGUCAGAGAAGAACAAGUUGGAGAGUAACUGCUCCAGCCUUGACGGUAUCUGACCAGAAAGCCACGGCUAACUACGUGCCAGCCGCAGC
This 519-nucleotide ribosomal RNA is filed under the name uncultured bacterium. Its description in RNAcentral is "bacterial SSU rRNA". It matches the Rfam family "Bacterial small subunit ribosomal RNA", at positions 27 to 518 of the family's 1533-position model. The record is from RNAcentral.